UUACAACGCUGGCGGCAGGCCUAACACAUGCAAGUCGAACGGUAACAGGAAGAAGCUUGCUCUUUGCUGACGAGUGGCGGACGGGUGAGUAAUGUCUGGGAAACUGCCUGAUGGAGGGGGAUAACUACUGGAAACGGUAGCUAAUACCGCAUAACGUCGCAAGACCAAAGAGGGGGACCUUCGGGCCUCUUGCCAUCGGAUGCGCCCAGAUGGGAUUAGCUAGUAGGUGGGGUAACGGCUCACCUAGGCGACGAUCCCUAGCUGGUCUGAGAGGAUGACCAGCCACACUGGAACUGAGACACGGUCCAGACUCCUACGGGAGGCAGCAGUGGGGAAUAUUGCACAAUGGGCGCAAGCCUGAUGCAGCCAUGCCGCGUGUAUGAAGAAGGCCUCGGGUUGUAAAGUACUUUCAGCGGGGAGGAAGGGAGUAAAGUUAAUACCUUUGCUCAUUGACGUUACCCGCAGAAGAAGCACCGGCUAACUCCGUGCCAGCAGCCGCGGUAAUACGGAGGGUGCAAGCGUUAAUCGGAAUUACUGGGCGUAAAGCGCACGCAGGCGGUUUGUUAAGUCAGAUGUGAAAUCCCCGGGCUCAACCUGGGAACUGCAUCUGAUACUGGCAAGCUUGAGUCUCGUAGAGGGGGGUAGAAUUCCAGGUGUAGCGGUGAAAUGCGUAGAGAUCUGGAGGAAUACCGGUGGCGAAGGCGGCCCCCUGGACGAAGACUGACGCUCAGGUGCGAAAGCGUGGGGAGCAAACAGGAUUAGCAUACCCUGGUAGUCCACGCCGUAAACGAUGUCGACUUGGAGGUUGUGCCCUUGAGGCGUGGCUUCUGGAGCUAACGCGUUAAGUCGACCGCCUGGGGAGUACGGCCGCAAGGUUAAAACUCAAAUGAAUUGACGGGGGCCCGCACAAGCGGUGGAGCAUGUGGUUUAAUUCGAUGCAACGCGAAGAACCUUACCUGGUCUUGACAUCCACGGAAGUUUUCCGAGAUGAGAAUGUGCCUUCGGGAACCGUGAGACAGGUGCUGCAUGGCUGUCGUCAGCUCGUGUUGUGAAAUGUUGGGUUAAGUCCCGCAACGAGCGCAACCCUUAUCCUUUGUUGCCAGCGGUCCGGCCGGGAACACU
RNAcentral lists this ribosomal RNA (1122 nucleotides) under Escherichia coli. RNAcentral describes it as "bacterial SSU rRNA". It matches the Rfam family "Bacterial small subunit ribosomal RNA", at positions 29 to 1141 of the family's 1533-position model. The record is from RNAcentral. Lineage: Bacteria; Pseudomonadati; Pseudomonadota; Gammaproteobacteria; Enterobacterales; Enterobacteriaceae.